RNAcentral lists this ribosomal RNA (1941 nucleotides) under Vexillifera sp. S2M1. RNAcentral describes it as "bacterial SSU rRNA". It matches the Rfam family "Eukaryotic small subunit ribosomal RNA". The record is from RNAcentral. Lineage: Eukaryota; Discosea; Flabellinia; Dactylopodida; Vexilliferidae.
ACCUGGUUGAUCCUGCCAGUUGUCAUAUGCUUGUUUAAAAGAUUAAAGCCAUGCAAGUUUAAAUAUAAAUUCGAUUUAUAUGUAUAAUAAGAUUGCGAAUGGCUCAUUAAAUCAGUAAUCAUUUAUUCGGUAGUAAAAUUAAUCAUAAGAAAGAUUAAUUAAAAUUAGAUGGAUAACUGUGGUAAAUCUAGAGCUAAUACAUGCUUUUAAACUCGUAAUGCGAGUGAGCAUAUUAGGUACUAAACUAUACUUUUUUAAAAUUGUAUGGUGAUUCAUAAUAUUCAAUCAGAUUGCAAAAGGUAAAGAGAUUUAUUUCUUUAUGGCAACAAACCGAUUAAAUUUCUGCUCUAUCAACUUUGGAUGAUAGUAUAGUGGACUAUCAUGGUUUUAACAGAUACGGGGAAUUACGGUUCGAUUCCGGAGAGGGAGCCUGAGAAACGGCUACCACUUCUAAGGUGGGCAGCAGGCGCGCAAAUUACCCAAUUCUAAAAUAGAGAGGUAGUGACAAUAAAUAACAAUGAACAUAAAAUAGUAUUUUUUUACUACAGUUCAAUUGGAAUGAGAACAAUAUAAAAAACUUAUCGAGAAUCAAUUGGAGGGCAAGUCUGGUGCCAGCAGCCGCGGUAAUUCCAGCUCCAAUAGCGUAUACGGUCAGUGUUGCAGUUAAAAAGCUCGUAGUUGGAUUUAAAAAUGACUAAAUUAACUAAUAUUUAGUUAAUUAAAAAAAUUAUUUAAAUUUAAAUAGGAAAUAGGGCUUUUGCCCUAGUAUAAUUGAAAUAUUAUACCUUUUUUUGUUUCCAUUUAUUUUUUACUUUGAAUAAAUUAGAGUGUUUAAAACAAGUUUUUAUUUAAUUAAUUUUGAAUAUAUUAGCAUGGGAUAAUAAAAAAUGAUUCUUUAUAAAAUUUAUAUUGUAUAGUUUUGUUUAUAAAGAAUAAUGAUUAAUAGGAAUGGUUGGGGGUAUUCGUAUUGAAUUGUCAGAGGUGAAAUUCAUGGAUUUUUUCAAGACGAACAUCAGCGAAAGCAUUUAUCAAGGACGUUUCCAUUAAUCAAGAACGAAAGUUGGGGGAUCGAAGAUGAUCAGAUACCGUCGUAGUCUCAACCAUAAACUAUGUCGACAAAUGAUAAUAAUUUAAUAAAAAACAAUUUAAAGUGUUUAUGUUAAUUAUUGAAAUUUUAAGAGAAAUUAAGAGUAUUUAGACUCUGGGGGAAGUAUUGUCGCAAGGCUGAAACUUAAAGGAAUUGACGGAAGGGCACAACAAGAUGUGGAUUUUGCGGCUUAAUUCGACUCAACACGGGAAAACUUACCAGGUCCAGACAAUCGAAGGAUUGACAGAUUAAAGAUCUUUCUUAAUUGAUUGAUUAGUGGUGCAUGGCCGUUCUUAGUUCGUGGAGUGAUUUGUCUACUUAAUUGUGUUAACGAACGAGAUCUUAACUUAUUAAUUAGUAAAUAGAAUAGGUUCUGAAUUUAUUCUAAAAAAAUUUAUUUUUACUUCUUAAAAGGACAUUUAAUAUUUAAAUUAAAGGAAGUUUAAGGCAAUAACAGGUCUGUAAUGCCCUUUAGAUGUUCUGGGCUGCACGCGCGAUACAAUGAAAAUUUCAAAAAGUUAUUAUGAUGUAAAAGAGAUUUACUUUUUUACUUUUCCUUAAUAGAAAUAUUUGGGUAAACUUUAAAAUAAUUUUCGUGGUGGGGAUUAAUAAUUGUAAUUAUUUAUUAUGAACGAGGAAUAUCUAGUAAGUAUAAUUCAUCAAAUUAUGCUGAUUACGUCCCUGCCCUUUGUACACACCGCCCGUCGUUCCUACCGAUGAAUGAUAUGGUGAAAUUUUAGGAUAUCAUUAAAUUUUAAAUUUAUUUUUGAAAUUGAAGAUAAAAUUUAAUUAAAUCCUAUGAUUUAGAGGAAGGAGAAGUCGUAACAAGGUAUCCGUAGGUGAACCUGCGGAAG